This 405-nucleotide ribosomal RNA is filed under the name uncultured bacterium. RNAcentral's name for it is "bacterial SSU rRNA". It matches the Rfam family "Bacterial small subunit ribosomal RNA", at positions 354 to 776 of the family's 1533-position model. The record is from RNAcentral.
GUGGGGAAUAUUGCACAAUGGGGGAAACCCUGAUGCAGCGACGCCGCGUGAGUGAAGAAGUAUUUCGGUAUGUAAAGCUCUAUCAGCAGGGAAGAACAUGACGGUACCUGACUAAGAAGCCCCGGCUAACUACGUGCCAGCAGCCGCGGUAAUACGUAGGGGGCAAGCGUUAUCCGGAUUUACUGGGUGUAAAGGGAGCGUAGACGGCAGAGCAAGUCUGAAGUGAAAGCCCGCGGCCCAACUGCGGGACUGCUUUGGAAACUGCCCGGCUAGAGUGCUGGAGAGGUAAGCGGAAUUCCUAGUGUAGCGGUGAAAUGCGUAGAUAUUAGGAGGAACACCAGUGGCGAAGGCGGCUUACUGGACAGUAACUGACGUUGAGGCUCGAAAGCGUGGGGAGCAAACAGG